GGGCCCCUAGCUCAGCCUGGUAGAGCCUGUGGCGCCAUGAGCACCCGGUUCGCACCCGGGAGGCCGCG
This 68-nucleotide transfer RNA is filed under the name Candidatus Bathyarchaeota archaeon. Its description in RNAcentral is "tRNA-OTHER". Lineage: Archaea; Thermoproteati; Candidatus Bathyarchaeota. The record is from RNAcentral.